CCCUUAGAUGUUCUGGGCCGCACGCGCGCUACACUGAUGCAUUCAACGAGCCUAUCCUUGACCAACAGGUCCGGGUAAUCUUUGAAUCUGCAUCGUGACGGGGAUAGAUUAUUGCAAUUAUUAAUCUUCAACGAGGAAUGCCUAGUAGGCGCAAGUCAUCAGCUUGCGUCGAUUACGUCCCUGCCCUUUGUACACACCGCCCGUCGCUCCUACCGAUUGGGUGUGCUGGUGAAAUGUUCGGAUCGGCCGUUUGUCGCGGUUUCCGCGUCAUGUGGCUGAGAAGUUCAUUAACCCCUCCCACCUAGAGGAAGGAGAAGUCGUAACA
Molecule: ribosomal RNA, 325 nt
Filed under: uncultured eukaryote
Lineage: Eukaryota
Description: partial 18S ribosomal RNA
Rfam family: Eukaryotic small subunit ribosomal RNA
Source: RNAcentral